Molecule: RNA transcript, 3977 nt
Organism: Symphalangus syndactylus (siamang)
Lineage: Eukaryota; Metazoa; Chordata; Mammalia; Primates; Hylobatidae
Source: RefSeq, a predicted model, not a curated record
GGAACUGGAAGCUGGGCCCGUGGGGGAGCACACAUGGUCGCCGUCCCGGUCCCCGCCCUGGGGCCGGGCACCCGUGGUCUGCAGCACGGUCCGGAAGGCGAGCUCGAUGCGGAGCGAGUCGUAGCCGAUGAAGGGCUUCCAGGUCUUCUUGUCCUCCUUGUAGAACCAGCGUACCUCCUCCGGGCCCAGCUCCGUCACUACCUCAUAGCGGUGCCGGGCCGCCGGGCCACCAAGCCGGAAGAAUCCAGGAACUCAUGAGAUUCUUUGGUGCCUGCAAAUUCUGAUCUCCUUUAAAGGUCAUGAAAACUGUGAGAACCCCAUUAGAGCUAAAAGAGUUUUAAGUCCUAUCAAGGGCUUAUCCUUGGUCAUUGUGCUGAUUUUGAUGGAAAGGACAUCACAAGGCUCAACCUGCUUUAAAAACUUCCUCAGUAGGGCAUUUCCUUCCUACAUGGUUUGACAUACAUUCAUAACAAAGGUAGGCACACUGUCCUUGUUUGUUUGUUUGUUUGUUUGUUUAUUUAUUUAUUGAGAUGGAGUUUCACUCUUGUUGCCCAGGCUGGAGUGCAAUGGCAUGAUCUCGACUCAUUGCAACCUCUGCCUCCUGGGUUCAAGCGAUUCUCCUGCCUCAGCCUCCCAAGUAGCUGAGAUUACAGGCAUGCACCACCAUGCCCAGCUAAUUUUGUAUUUUUAGUACAGACAGGGUUUCACCAUGUUGGUCAGGCUGGUCUUGAACUCCUGACAUCAGGUGAUCCACCAGUCUCAGCCUCCCAAAGUGCUGGGAUUAUAGGCAUGAGCCACCGCACCCAGCCUGUAUGUAUAUUUUUAAAUGUGUGCAGCUGGUAUGACCAGGCUUUUCACUAGAUAUAAAUGAGGUCAUAUUAACUUUCUAAUGCUCCAAAUAUAACUUGAGCCCCCACUUAAUUGAUUGCUAGUCAAAUAUUUCCCAAAUAUUCCCUGUUGUCCCCCAAAGGAUAGCUUAUAUCUGCUUACGGUCUGUCCACUACAGUAAUCAUCCAAGCCAACCAUGUUCCUUUCCUGCUAGUCUAGCAACACUGUGUUCACCCAUAUGCCCUGCUUGUCCUCCAAGUAGCUUGAAGGAAUCUCAUUGUUGCCUUGGUAAUGAUGCUGUACCCUCCUGAUAUUGGUGGUGGCCUUACCAAGAGCAUGGUCUUCUGAUUCCCUCUGGCUCCACCAUCCAGGUGCCAAGCUGAGCAGGGAGGAGGGGACACGCCCAGCUCUGAGCCAUGCCUUUCACCUGAAACUUCAAGUGUUCCUCCUGCCUGUCUCCUGAGUAGCUGGGAUUACAGGCAUGCACGGCUACACCUGGCUAAUUUUUUGUAUUUUUAGUAGAGAUGAGGUUUCACCAUGUGGGCCAGGCUGUUCUUGAACUCCUGACCUCAAAUGAUCCACCUGCCUUGUUGGCCUCCCAAAGUGCUGGGAUUACAGGCAUUGAGCUGCUGUACCCGGCCAGAAUCUGCAACUCUUAAAUGACAACUUCCUCACCUCUAUCACCCAGGUUUCAAAAAUCUUAGGGCCCAGGCCCAGCUAAAGCACUUUAGGCACAAAGGAAACUCUGCCAUCCAGAGGGGAAAAGGUAGCUCCUUUGCUAUUAACCUAAUAAACUCUUAAUUAUUUAGCCGAUUGGUAAAGGCAUGAAGGGUCUAAAGUCUGAAGACCAGCCAAUGUCAGAGUAUUAAAUACCUGAGACUGGAAAACUCUAGGUAGUUUCACAUGAAUCUGGUAGAUAAUGGGAAGAACAGAGGAUGAGAGGGAAAGCUUCCAAAAACAGAUUCUAGAAAUAAAUUAUAUGCAAGACAAACUCUGGCCUAUCAAUUAAGCUAUAAACUUUUUGACUUUCUAACAUCACCCAUAUAAGUUAAUAUCACAACAAACUCUGAAAGUGUUGUCAUAAAUAUGACUGACACAAGAUUACAAACCUCAAUAAAUAAAGAGGUCCUAUUCACAGACUGGAAAUCAUAAUAAGCUUCCAUUAGAAAACUGGGCAGAAAUUAUGAAUGUAAAUUAACAAAAGGGGAAAUGAAAACUUGAAAAUUAUUAAGAGAAUAGGAUAAAGACUUCAUCUGGCACAGUAGCAAAAAACGUAAAGUAAAACAAUAAUUGCAUGCCACUUGUGCCAAAGUUUGUACCUGAUCAGGGAGGACCCCUAAUGGCAUGCUCAUGAGAGUAGAAUUUAUUCUGUACAUAAUAUGAAAACAUUAAAGGAUAUUUUAUCGGGAGAGUAACAUCAUAUCAGCCACCCCCCCACCUUUUUUUUAAGGAAAAGGAAGAUUAAUUAGUCCAUGUGAUAUAGGAUGAAUUAAAGAAGAUGAGACUGGCCUGGCAUAGUGGCUCACGCCUGUAAUCCUAGCACUUUGGGAGGCUGAGGUGGGCAGAUCACAGGGUCAGGAGAUUGAGACCCUCUUCUGGGUAACACGGUGAAACCCCAUCUCUACUAAAAAUACAAAAAAUUAGCCGGGUGUGGUGGUGGAUGCCUGUAGUCCCAGCUACUUGGGAGGCUGAGGCAAGAGAAUCGCUUGAACCCGGGAGGCAGAGGUUGCAGUGAGCUGAGAUUGUGCCACUGCACUCCAGCCUGGGUAACAGAGCAAGGCUCCAUCUAAAAAAAAAAAAAAAAAAAAAAAAAAGAUGAGACUGCCUGCCGUAAUUGUAAACAUGAGUGAACAUUUCCAGAAAUGGUCUGUAUAGACAUACUGUUGAAGAUCUAGCUUUGGAUAAACCCGUAGGGAAGGAUUGAAUUACAUGCUAACUUCUUCCAUUCACUAUACUGUCUCUCACUAGACCUUGCUUCCUGAUAAGGGACGCCAUUAUAUCACAAGACUUUCUAUAAAAUGAUAUAACACAACAACAUCCAAUAACUCAUUUUCAAAUUAAAUAGACGUGUCCUUUUAAAGAAAUUUCUUUCACAAAUAUUAGGAGGCACCAGCAUCAAGAAUUAGAGGACUUCUAUUUUCAAAAGGUGCUUUUAUUUUGUCCAUGAAACUUGAGGAACAAUUUUUUUUCUCACCCUGCCUUAUGGUGCUGAGAGGAACAAUUUUAUCAACCUCCUUAAAAUGGCUAUGCCAUCCAUUUUUAACAGGCCUGCUUUAUUGCAAAGGUAGUCUAAUGAAAUGAGACUUCCUUAAGUUUGGCUUUUCCCCAAAGACAAAGAAUUUUCUGAUACUUAUUUUUUAGAAUAUUUCAACUUUAUCUUAGAAGAUCCCUUUUCCUAAGUGGACAUAAGUAUUGUUUCCUCCUAUCAAAGAAAUAACCGAACAGCAAUUCUGUUUAAUUGGCAAUAACAUUGAGCAAAAACUUAAUUUUGCCUGCUCAGAUUUCUUCUGUUUACUUUCUGUUUUAACUGUGUUCCCCAGAGCUCACUAAGACAUGGUGAUGCAAUGAUGGUUUACCCUUUCCCCAACUAAGGCUUGCUGUCACCCCAGCCAUCAGUGUACUCAAGUGACAAAAGAAUUAAUUAAUUUAAAAAAAUUACUUAUUGUUAUUGCAUGGAGGCCUUUUUCAGAACUCCACCAGGCAGAGCUCUAGGUAUGGAGAAACAGAAUAUUUGGAUUAUAGUAACUUUCUCUUUCUUAUUGUAGGUAGGUGCUUUGGUCCUUGCCGGUCCUAGCUCUCCUUAGCAGUGUCCUUCAUAGACAGAAGGAAAAAACGUUAGUCUUCUUGAUAGAGAUCAGGGAAAGCGGGUGUGUUUCAAGAUGUGUAGUUAAUAGCAGCAUGUGGGAAUGAAGGAAUGGAAUAAGUAUGGGACAGGAAAUUAGGAAACCUAGAUUCCAGACUCAGCUCUGCCACUAAUUAGACAUGUGACCUCUGGCAACUCUUUCACUCUCACACGGUCUAAUUUUUUCUCAUCUGUAAUAUGAGGAAAUUUGUUACCAGUGGCAAAUCUGUGCAAAUCUGCAGCAACCUCAAUUCUUGUCUCCUUAGAAGAAAGAAGUGAACUGAGGGGCAUAAGGCAGAAGGAGAGA